This is a small nuclear RNA of Erinaceus europaeus (western European hedgehog), 104 nucleotides long. NCBI's taxonomy places the organism in Eukaryota, Metazoa, Chordata, Mammalia, Eulipotyphla, Erinaceidae. The record is from Ensembl.
GUGCUUAUUUUGUUAACCCACAUGCUAAAAUUAGAAUAAUACAGAGAUUAACAUCCCCUUUGCAUAAGGGUGCCAUGCAAAUUCAUGAAGUAGUCUUUAUUUUG